GAUGAACGCUGGCGGCGUGCCUAAUACAUGCAAGUCGAGCGAACGGACGAGAAGCUUGCUUCUCUGAUGUUAGCGGCGGACGGGUGAGUAACACGUGGAUAACCUACCUAUAAGGCUGGGAUAACUUCGGGAAACCGUAGCUAAUGCCGGAUAAUAUUUUGAACCGCAUGGUUCAAAAGUGAAAGACGGUCUUGCUGUCACUUAUAGAUGGAUCCGCGCUGCAUUAGCUAGUUGGUAAGGUAACGGCUUACCAAGGCAACGAUGCAUAGCCGACCUGAGAGGGUGAUCGGCCACACUGGAACUGAGACACGGUCCAGACUCCUACGGGAGGCAGCAGUAGGGAAUCUUCCGCAAUGGGCGAAAGCCUGACGGAGCAACGCCGCGUGAGUGAUGAAGGUCUUCGGAUCGUAAAACUCUGUUAUUAGGGAAGAACAUAUGUGUAAGUAACUGUGCACAUCUUGACGGUACCUAAUCAGAAAGCCACGGCUAACUACGUG
Molecule: ribosomal RNA, 497 nt
Filed under: uncultured bacterium
Lineage: Bacteria
Description: partial 16S ribosomal RNA
Rfam family: Bacterial small subunit ribosomal RNA
Source: RNAcentral